GUGUCAGCCGCCGCGGUAAUACGUAGGGUGCGAGCGUUAAUCGGAAUUACUGGGCGUAAAGCGUGCGCAGGCGGUUUUGUAAGACAGGCGUGAAAUCCCCGGGCUCAACCUGGGAACUGCGCUUGUGACUGCAAGGCUAGAGUACGGCAGAGGGGGGUGGAAUUCCACGUGUAGCAGUGAAAUCCGUAGAUAUUCGAAGGAACACCGGUGGCGAAGGCGGCUACCUGGACCGAUACUGACGCUGAGACGCGAAAGCGUGGGGAGCAAACAGGAUUAGAUACCCUGGCAGUCCACGCCCUAA
This 301-nucleotide ribosomal RNA is filed under the name uncultured bacterium. RNAcentral's name for it is "bacterial SSU rRNA". It matches the Rfam family "Bacterial small subunit ribosomal RNA", at positions 505 to 805 of the family's 1533-position model. The record is from RNAcentral.